ACCCGUUGUAUUUCUCUUCUUCUUCGCUGUGAUGUCGGAAAAGACAUGGACAACAACAUUCCUAGAAAACCACUUCUAUGAGGUACAUGGGAACAACGUUACCUCGAUGAACAGCUCUUUUCAUUCUUGCUCUAGCACGCGCAACGACUCCAUAAAUGAAGAGCUAGAGAAACGCGCGCAGUCUGAUGCUUCAAACUGGAUUCUCUACAUUGACAUGACAGUAAUAGUUCCAGGUAUGGUGUGGUCUCUUCUGAUGGGAGGAUGGUCAGAUAAACACGGAAGAAAACUGUUACUACUGGCACCUCUAGUGGGCUACAGUAUUGAAGCUUUUCUGUUUCUUGUCAUUAUGAAAUGUAACUUGGCCAUUGCGUAUCUGUUUAUUGGGAAUGCGAUUGCGGGUAUUACGGGAGGAAUGACAACGUUGUUUGCUGCCUUGUAUUCGUACAUGACUGAUAUAACAAAUCCUGUCAACAGAACUGCAAGAAUGGGGAUCUUUGUCGGAAUGCUUUUUGUGGGUGGUGGUAUUGGUAGACUACUGGCAGGUAUUAUAUUGGACCACGUUGGUUCUUAUGCUGUGGAAGGAACUGCAUUGACAUGUUACAUUAUUACUGCUUUGUAUGUCACGUUGCUGAUGGAUCAUUCAUCGUCUAUCACCGCAACAGAAGAAUCGACAACAGAAGAAUUGACGACAGAAAGCGUGACGAGUGAAGGAACAACAGAGACUAUGAACAGUGAUGAUGAUGAUGAAAAGUUAUUGUCCGAUGAUAAACUUUGCAGUAUUAAAGGUUUUGUUGAAACAAUGAAGGUGUUUAAGAAGAAAAAUCGUCUAAAGCCAUCUUGGUGUCUUGUGGUGCUUAUCAUAAUGGAUGGCAUCAAUGUACUUGUUUAUAGUGGCUAUCCUGCUGUGCAAUAUUUGUAUUUUCUUGGAUAUCCAUUGUGCUGGAGUUCAAGCGUUAUUGGAUAUUAUCUAGGUCUGUUCAAUUUGGUUGGAUUUUUGAGUUCAAGCGUGAUUCUCGCUUUCUUGAACAAAGUUCUGCAUUUGCGAGACACAACAAUCAUUCUACUGGCGUCAUCUACAUGGAGUGCUUCAUUUGUACUAGAGGCAUUUGCCACAUCAACUUGGGCAAUGUUUUUAGUUCCUGUUGUCAGCUUACUGAAUGGGACCAUUCCUCCAGCUUUGCUAAGUCUGAUGUCUGGGUGUGUACGAGACACUCACCAUGGAGCACUCUUCUCGAUUGUAUCGUCUUUUGAGACACUGUGCUCAGUAAUUUCUGAGUUGGUUUUCAACCCACUUUAUGCUGCUGUCAAUAGGGAAAACAUUAACUUUCUUCCAAGUUCAGGAGCAAUCGUUUUUCUUGUAACAGCUGUGCUUAUUCUCUUAUCUCUAGUUUUGAUGACGGUUUUUCAUUUUUCGAAAGCAAAUGUGGUUUUAACACAUCCAAGGAAGGGCAGCAGACUGAUGAGUGAGAGUGAAGGUGGAGAUGAAACAGACUUGUAAAUUUUAUAUCAGACUGGGUGCUCUGCUUCGGGAUGUACAGAACAGAGGCAAGAAAAAAACGCUGAGAAGAAAGGUGCGGGCAAGAAGAGUUAGUCCAUUCCAAUAUGAUUCUUUUUUCCCAUAACACUGUGAAACUUAAAAAUUUCCUUGCUGUUGGCUUGCUGAAUGCUGCUGUUCUCCUCUGAUAAUUCAUCAUGUCUGGAUGUGUUCAAGAUCGAGACUCGCUAUAUGGAGCAUGUCCUCUUCUCAAAUUUUUGGCAUGCAUCUUUUGAGACAUUGUGCUUCGUGGUUGCUGAGUUGGUUCUCAACCCUGUAAUGUUUGCCUUUUUAGGUUAAUUAGUCUGGCUGUUGAUUAUGACAUAUCUUUGCAGUUUAGACUGUUCUCUGCGUUAACUAUAAGACAACUGUACCCCUCUAGUUCAGUUUGGUUCUGUUUUAGUCGUAAUA
Molecule: RNA transcript, 1945 nt
Organism: Corticium candelabrum
Lineage: Eukaryota; Metazoa; Porifera; Homoscleromorpha; Homosclerophorida; Plakinidae
Gene name: proton-coupled folate transporter-like
Exons: 5
Source: RefSeq, a predicted model, not a curated record